Molecule: ribosomal RNA, 274 nt
Filed under: uncultured bacterium
Lineage: Bacteria
Description: partial 16S ribosomal RNA
Rfam family: Bacterial small subunit ribosomal RNA
Source: RNAcentral
AGACAGAGGUGGCAAGCGUUGUUCGGAUUUACUGGGCUUAAAGGGCGUGUAGGCGUCCUGGUAAGUCAGAUGUGGAAGCCUUGGGCUCAACCCAAGAAUUGCAUUUGAUACUGCCGGGAUUGAGUCGUGCAUGGGAGGGCGGAAUUCCUGGUGUAGCGGUGAAAUGCGUAGAUAUCAGGAGGAAGGCCGGUGGCGAAGGUGGCCCUCUGGGCAAUGACUGACGCUGAGGCGCGAAAGCGUGGGGAGCAAACAGGAUUAGAAACCCUUGUAGUCC